RNAcentral lists this ribosomal RNA (320 nucleotides) under uncultured Prevotella sp. RNAcentral's name for it is "partial 16S ribosomal RNA". The record is from RNAcentral. Lineage: Bacteria; Pseudomonadati; Bacteroidota; Bacteroidia; Bacteroidales; Prevotellaceae.
GGAGUUUGGACCGUGUCUCAGUUCCAAUGUGGGGGACCUUCCUCUCAGAACCCCUACUGAUCGACGGCUUGGUGGGCCGUUACCCCGCCAACAACCUAAUCAGACGCAUCCCCAUCCCUUAGCGAUGAAUCUUUGGUUCAACUCAGAUGUCCUCGUCGAACAACAUAGGGUAUUAAUCCGAUUUUCACCGGGCUAUCCCCUACUAAGGGGAAGGUUGGAUACGCGUUACUCACCCGUGCGCCGGUCGCCAUCAGUCAAAGCAAGCUUUGACCAUGAUGCCCCUCGACUUGCAUGUGUUAAGCCUGUAGCUAGCGUUCAUC